CAAGAAAGAGUUUAAUAUCCACUUAGAUUCCUCAAUUUGUGUAAAGCAUGGAGAAAAUAGAUCAACAAUGGCAGGAUUUGACAUCCAGACUAUUGGAAGGCAGCUUGGAUAUAUCCUCAGAAGCGAAACCAAAUUCAAGAAUUUUAAGAUAAACAAUACUUCUGCUGGGAUAUCCAUUGCUUUGCUGAGCAAAAAUGUGGCCACAGGACUGAAAAUUGAGGACCAGAUUGCUAUUGGAAAGCGCUUGGCUUUGGUGGGAAAUGCUGGGGCUGUAAGAUCUGGAGGUGAUACAGCAUAUGGAGCCAACUUCGAAGUUCACCUCAAGAGCAAAGAUUUUCCUGUAGAGCAGGAACAAUCCACAUUAGGCUUGUCUCUGAUGAAUUGGAGAGGUGAUUUGGGUGUACUGGCCAACUUAGACUCUCAGUUCUCCAUUGGUCGGAAUUCAAAAAUGGCUAUCCAUGUUGGAAUGAAUAACAGGCAAAGUGGACAGAUCACCAUCAAGACCAGUA
This 509-nucleotide unclassified non-coding RNA is filed under the name Hevea brasiliensis (rubber tree). Lineage: Eukaryota; Viridiplantae; Streptophyta; Magnoliopsida; Malpighiales; Euphorbiaceae. The record is from RNAcentral.